This 277-nucleotide ribosomal RNA is filed under the name uncultured bacterium. Its description in RNAcentral is "partial 16S ribosomal RNA". It matches the Rfam family "Bacterial small subunit ribosomal RNA", at positions 81 to 354 of the family's 1533-position model. The record is from RNAcentral.
UACUCCGCCGGCGACCGGCGCACGGGUGAGUAACACGUAUGAAACCUGCCCGUAGCAGGGGGAUAAGCGGAAGAAAUUCCGUCUAAUACCGCGUAACAACCCGAGGAGGCAUCUCCUCGGGUUUAAAGGAAGCGAUUCCGGCUACGGAUGGUCAUGCGUCGCAUUAGCUUGUUGGCGGGGUAACGGCCCACCAAGGCGACGAUGCGUAGGGGUUCUGAGAGGAAGGUCCCCCACACUGGUACUGAGACACGGACCAGACUCCUACGGAAGGCAGCAG